This is a long non-coding RNA of Oncorhynchus keta (chum salmon), 2094 nucleotides long. RefSeq lists it as uncharacterized. Lineage: Eukaryota; Metazoa; Chordata; Actinopteri; Salmoniformes; Salmonidae. The transcript has 3 exons. The record is from RefSeq and is a predicted model, not a curated record.
CUCCAGGGCUCCUUCCUAAUCAAGUCUAAAGAGAUCGAGCCAGGGCUUUUCACUCCGGCCCGCUGAAGUCCAAUUGAAACGGUCUGUUCAAUACAAUUUGGACCCUGAGGAAGUGGGCACUUCGGAGAGACUUAAUGGUCAUCAAAAUGUAAAUGCCUUCCAUGUCGGCAGGAGGGGAUGAAGCCUGUGUGAGAGGAAGGAGUCAUACUGGUUUGAGGGGGAAGGAACGAGCCUUACACAUAAAAAUACAUGGAUCACAGACUGUCUGAAACUCAAACAUUGUGGGUUGACUGUACGUGUGUGUCUGUUGUGGUUGCUGAUGCAUCCUGAGUAGCAUCCAGCUAACAAACUCAUGGAUGGCUGAUGACUGCAUCUCCCUAAUGGCGCCCUGGAGGCUGGCUGGCUCUGUCUGUCUGUCUGUCUGUCUGUCUGUCUGUCUGUCUGUCUGUCUGUCUGUCUGUCUGUGUGUCUGUGUGUCUGUGUGUCUGUGUGUGUGUGUUUGUUUUCCCAGCUCCUGGAUGAGAGCUAGCGAUGACAGCGAGAGCAGCGGGCGGGAUAAAUUGAGCCACACAGCCACUCAUAGGUGACCUUACCUCAGCCCUGUCCAAUGAGAAGGCCCCUGAGACUGUGCUCUGCAUCAUAGGGGGAGGAGGGAAAAGCUCAGCCAGCUGCUACACAACAAGAAAGAGGGAGCUUUUAUCUCCAUGUCCUGCUGUUCAUCUAACACACACUAUUGUUAGCCUCUACAGAUGAUUUGACCUUUUCCUACAGAUUAUUAUCCCUUCAAGCACUGGCCUUUAUCAGCCUCAUCUCUCCCAUCGUUGUCCCAUUCCUCUUAUCUGUCCUCUCCUUUAUUAGCCUAGGAUCUGGUCAUAGGUUAGAUUGGAGGACUGCAGCGUGCCGCCCGGUCCGCCCAGUGAGGGGGGUCCAGGUGGUUAACCCACUGUGGGGAGCUGUUGUAAUACUGAUCCACUGAACAAAGUGAGGCUCUGGCUUGUUUCACACCAGGUUACACUAAAGGAGGGAUUCCACAGCGAGGUAGACACACAGGUUGACACACACACACGUUGCUGAAGAGAUCUGAUAGCCUAUGCAUGGAGACAUGAAGCACCAUGUGAACUGUAGACUACAUAACAUGUGUAAACAACUACCUCCAGAGAUCAGGUUACCUGCCUGCUAGGGCUGGGAAUUGCCAGGGACCUCACGAUACCAUAUUAUCACCAUACUUAGGUGCCGAUACCAUAUUAUCACCAUACUUAGGUGCCGAUAGCAUAUUAUCACCAUACUUAGGUGCCGAUAGCAUAUUAUCACCAUACUUAGGUGCCGAUAGCAUAUUAUCACCAUACUUAGGUGCCGAUAGCAUAUUAUCACCAUACUUAGGUGCCGAUAGCAUAUUAUCACCAUACUUAGGUGCCGAUAGCAUAUUAUCACCAUACUUAGGUGCCGAUAGCAUAUUAUCACCAUACUUAGGUGCCGAUAGCAUAUUAUCACCAUACUUAGGUGCCGAUAGCAUAUUAUCACCAUACUUAGGUGCCGAUAGCAUAUUAUCACCAUACUUAGGUGCCGAUAGCAUAUUAUCACCAUACUUAGGUGCCGAUAGCAUAUUAUCACCAUACUUAGGUGCCGAUAGCAUAUUAUCACCAUACUUAGGUGCCGAUAGCAUAUUAUCACCAUACUUAGGUGCCGAUAGCAUAUUAUCACCAUACUUAGGUGCCGAUAGCAUAUUAUCACCAUACUUAGGUGCCGAUAGCAUAUUAUCACCAUACUUAGGUGCCGAUAGCAUAUUAUCACCAUACUUAGGUGCCGAUAGCAUAUUAUCACCAUACUUAGGUGCCGAUAGCAUAUUAUCACCAUACUUAGGUGCCGAUACCAUAUUAUCACCAUACUUAGGUGCCGAUACCAUAUUAUCACCAUACUUAGGUGCCGAUAGCAUAUUAUCACCAUACUUAGGUGCCGAUACCAUAUUAUCACCAUACUUCGGUGCCGAUAUGUUAUGCGAUUCUCAUGAUUCUUAUAUGUAUUGCAGUUUGAUACUGUGAUUUUUAUUGCGAUUUCGAUGUUCCAAACAUGUUGCUCACCACAUGUCCGCUGCAG